UAUCUGGUUGAUCCUGCCAGUAGUCAUAUGCUUGUCUCAAAGAUUAAGCCAUGCAUGUCUAAGUAUAAGCAAUUUAUACAGUGAAACUGCGAAUGGCUCAUUAAAUCAGUUAUCGUUUAUUUGAUAGUUCCUUUACUACAUGGUAUAACUGUGGUAAUUCUAGAGCUAAUACAUGCUUAAAAUCUCGACCCUUUGGAAGAGAUGUAUUUAUUAGAUAAAAAAUCAAUGUCUUCGGACUCUUUGAUGAUUCAUAAUAACUUUUCGAAUCGCAUGGCCUUGUGCUGGCGAUGGUUCAUUCAAAUUUCUGCCCUAUCAACUUUCGAUGGUAGGAUAGUGGCCUACCAUGGUUUCAACGGGUAACGGGGAAUAAGGGUUCGAUUCCGGAGAGGGAGCCUGAGAAACGGCUACCACAUCCAAGGAAGGCAGCAGGCGCGCAAAUUACCCAAUCCUAAUUCAGGGAGGUAGUGACAAUAAAUAACGAUACAGGGCCCAUUCGGGUCUUGUAAUUGGAAUGAGUACAAUGUAAAUACCUUAACGAGGAACAAUUGGAGGGCAAGUCUGGUGCCAGCAGCCGCGGUAAUUCCAGCUCCAAUAGCGUAUAUUAAAGUUGUUGCAGUUAAAAAGCUCGUAGUUGAACUUUGGGCCCGGUUGGCCGGUCCGAUUUUUUCGUGUACUGGAUUUCCAACGGGGCCUUUCCUUCUGGCUAACCUUGAGUCCUUGUGGCUCUUGGCGAACCAGGACUUUUACUUUGAAAAAAUUAGAGUGUUCAAAGCAGGCGUAUUGCUCGAAUAUAUUAGCAUGGAAUAAUAGAAUAGGACGUUUGGUUCUAUUUUGUUGGUUUCUAGGACCAUCGUAAUGAUUAAUAGGGACGGUCGGGGGCAUCAGUAUUCAAUUGUCAGAGGUGAAAUUCUUGGAUUUAUUGAAGACUAACUACUGCGAAAGCAUUUGCCAAGGACGUUUUCAUUAAUCAAGAACGAAAGUUAGGGGAUCGAAGAUGAUCAGAUACCGUCGUAGUCUUAACCAUAAACUAUGCCGACUAGGGAUCGGGUGGUGUUUUUUUAAUGACCCACUCGGCACCUUACGAGAAAUCAAAGUCUUUGGGUUCUGGGGGGAGGUAUGGUCGCAAGGCUGAAACUUAAAGGAAUUGACGGAAGGGCACCACCAGGAGUGGAGYCUGCGGCUUAAUUUGACUCAACACGGGGAAACUCACCAGGUCCAGACACAAUAAGGAUUGACAGAUUGAGAGCUCUUUUCUUGAUUUUGUGGGUGGUGGUGCAUGGCCGUUCUUAGUUGGUGGAGUGAUUUGUCUGCUUAAUUGCGAUAACGAACGAGACCUUAACCUACUAAAUAGUGGUGCUAGCAUUUGCUGGUUAUCCACUUCUUAGAGGGACUAUCGGUUUCAAGCCGAUGGAAGUUUGAGGCAAUAACAGGUCUGUGAUGCCCUUAGACGUUCUGGGCCGCACGCGCGCUACACUGACGGAGCCAGCGAGUCUAACCUUGGCCGAGAGGUCUUGGUAAUCUUGUGAAACUCCGUCGUGCUGGGGAUAGAGCAUUGUAAUUAUUGCUCUUCAACGAGGAAUUCCUAGUAAGCGCAAGUCAUCAGCUUGCGUUGAUUACGUCCCUGCCCUUUGUACACACCGCCCGUCGCUAGUACCGAUUGAAUGGCUUAGUGAGGCCUCAGGAUCUGCUUAGAGAAGGGGGCAACUCCAUCUCAGAGCGGAGAAUUUGGACAAACUUGGUCAUUUAGAGGAACUAAAAGUCGUAACAAGGUUUCCGUAGGUGAACCUGCGGAAGGAUCAUUA
Non-coding RNA from Saccharomyces cerevisiae AWRI796, 1802 nucleotides. The record is from Rfam. NCBI's taxonomy places the organism in Eukaryota, Fungi, Ascomycota, Saccharomycetes, Saccharomycetales, Saccharomycetaceae.